GGGUGUAGCGUACCUACUAGCCUACGACGGGUACGGGUUGUGAGAGCAAGAGCCCGGAGAUGGAUUCUGAGACACGAAUCCAGGCCCUACGGGGUGCAGCAGGCGCGAAAACUUUACAAUGCUGGAAACAGCGAUAAGGGGACCUCGAGUGCCAGGUUACAAAUCUGGCUGUCGUGAUGCCUAAAAAGCAUUGCAUAGCAAGGGCCGGGCAAGACCGGUGCCAGCCGCCGCGGUAACACCGGCGGCUCGAGUGGUAACCGUUAUUAUUGGGUCUAAAGGGUCUGUAGCCGGCCGGAUAAGUCUCUUGGGAAAUCCAGCAGCUCAACUGUUGGGCUUUCAGGAGAUACUGUCUGGCUCGAGGCCGGGAGAGGUGAGAGGUACUUCAGGGGUAGGGGUGAAAUCUUGUAAUCCUUGAAGGACCACCAGUGGCGAAGGCGUCUCACCAGAACGGACCUGACGGCAAGGGACGAAAGCUAGGGGCACGAACCGGAUUAGAUACCCGGGUAGUCCUAGCCGUAAACGAUACUCGCUAGGUGUCGGCCACGGUGCGACCGUUGUCGGUGCCGUAGGGAAGCCGUGAAGCGAGCCACCUGGGAAGUACGGCCGCAAGGCUGAAACUUAAAGGAAUUGGCGGGGGAGCACCACAACGGGUGGAGCUUGCGGUUUAGUUGGAUUCAACGCCGGAAAUCUUACCGGGACCGACAGCGAUAUGAAGGCCAGGCUGAAGACUUUGCCGGAUUAGCUGAGAGGUGGUGCAUGGCCGUCGUCAGUUCGUACUGUGAAGCAUCCUGUUAAGUCAGGCAACGAGCGAGACCCACGCCCACAGUUGCCAGCGUACUCUCCGGAGUGACGGGUACACUGUGGGGACCGCCGCUGCUAAAGCGGAGGAAGGAAUGGGCAACGGUAGGUCAGUAUGCCCCGAAUAUCCCGGGCUACAUGCGAGCUACAAUGGUUGGUACAAUGGGUAUCUACCCCGAAAGGGGAUGGAAAUCUCCUAAAGCCAAUCUUAGUUCGGAUUGAGGGCUGCAACUCGCCCUCAUGAAGCUGGAAUCCGUAGUAAUCGCGUUUCAACAGAACGCGGUGAAUACGUCCCUGCUCCUUGCACACACCGCCCGUCAAACCACCCGAGUAGGGUCUGAAUGAGAGCGCUUCCUUCGGAGGCGUUCGAAUUUGGGCUUUGCAAGGGGGGUUAAGUCGUAACAAGGUA
This 1207-nucleotide ribosomal RNA is filed under the name metagenome. RNAcentral's name for it is "bacterial SSU rRNA". It matches the Rfam family "Archaeal small subunit ribosomal RNA", at positions 237 to 1445 of the family's 1478-position model. The record is from RNAcentral.